Molecule: ribosomal RNA, 301 nt
Filed under: uncultured bacterium
Lineage: Bacteria
Description: partial 16S ribosomal RNA
Rfam family: Bacterial small subunit ribosomal RNA
Source: RNAcentral
CAGCAGCCGCGGUAAUACGUAGGUGGCAAGCGUUGUCCGGAAUUAUUGGGCGUAAAGGGCUCGCAGGCGGUUUCUUAAGUCUGAUGUGAAAGCCCCCGGCUCAACCGGGGAGGGUCAUUGGAAACUGGGAAACUUGAGUGCAGAAGAGGAGAGUGGAAUUCCACGUGUAGCGGUGAAAUGCGUAGAGAUGUGGAGGAACACCAGUGGCAAAGGCGACUCUCUGGUCUGUAACUGACGCUGAGGAGCGAAAGCGUGGGGAGCGAACAGGAUUAGAUACCCCGGUAGUCCCUGUCUCUUAUAC